AUUGAACGCUGGCGGCAGGCCUAACACAUGCAAGUCGAACGGUAACAGGAAGAAGCUUGCUUCUUUGCUGACGAGUGGCGGACGGGUGAGUAAUGUCUGGGAAACUGCCUGAUGGAGGGGGAUAACUACUGGAAACGGUAGCUAAUACCGCAUAACGUCGCCAGACCAAAGAGGGGGACCUUCGGGCCUCUUGCCAUCGGAUGUGCCCAGAUGGGAUUAGCUAGUGGGUGGGGUAACGGCUCACCUAGGCGACGAUCCCUAGCUGGUCUGAGAGGAUGACCAGCCACACUGGAACUGAGACACGGUCCAGACUCCUACGGGAGGCAGCAGUGGGGAAUAUUGCACAAUGGGCGCAAGCCUGAUGCAGCCAUGCCGCGUGUAUGAAGAAGGCCUUCGGGUUGUAAAGUACUUUCAGCGGGGAGGAAGGGAGUAAAGUUAAUACCUUUGCGCAUUGACGUUACCCGCAGAAGAAGCACCGGCUAACUCCGUG
This 490-nucleotide ribosomal RNA is filed under the name uncultured bacterium. Its description in RNAcentral is "partial 16S ribosomal RNA". It matches the Rfam family "Bacterial small subunit ribosomal RNA", at positions 30 to 507 of the family's 1533-position model. The record is from RNAcentral.